Molecule: ribosomal RNA, 253 nt
Filed under: uncultured bacterium
Lineage: Bacteria
Description: partial 16S ribosomal RNA
Rfam family: Bacterial small subunit ribosomal RNA
Source: RNAcentral
UACAGAGGGUGCGAGCGUUAAUCGGAAUUACUGGGCGUAAAGCGCGCGUAGGCGGCUUUGCAAGUCGGGUGUGAAAUCCCCAGGCUUAACCUGGGAACUGCAUUCGAGACUGCAUUGCUAGAGUAUGGGAGAGGGAAGUGGAAUUCCUGGUGUAGCGGUGAAAUGCGCAGAUAUCAGGAGGAACACCGAUUGCGAAGGCAGCUCGCUGGGACGUGACUGACGCUGAGACGCGAAAGCGUGGGGAGCAAACAGG